AGUGAACGCUGGCGGUAGGCCUAACACAUGCCAGUCGAACGGCAGCACAGUAAGAGCUUGCUCUUACGGGUGGCGAGUGGCGGACGGGUGAGGAAUACAUCGGAAUCUACUUUUUCGUGGGGGAUAACGUAGGGAAACUUACGCUAAUACCGCACACGACCUACGGGUGAAAGCAGGGGAUCUUCGGACCUUGCGCGAUUGAAUGAGCCGAUGUCGGAUUAGCUAGUUGGCGGGGUAAAGGCCCACCAAGGCGACGAUCCGUAGCUGGUCUGAGAGGAUGAUCAGCCACACUGGAACUGAGACACGGUCCAGACUCCUACGGGAGGCAGCAGUGGGGAAUAUUGGCCAAUGGGCGCAAGCCUGAUCCAGCCAUACCGCGUGGGUGAAGAAGGCCUUCGGGUUGUAAAGCCCUUUUGUUGGGAAAGAAAAGCAGCAGGUUAAUACCCCGCUGUUCUGACGGUACCCAAAGAAUAAGCACCGGCUAACUUCGUG
Molecule: ribosomal RNA, 492 nt
Filed under: uncultured bacterium
Lineage: Bacteria
Description: partial 16S ribosomal RNA
Rfam family: Bacterial small subunit ribosomal RNA
Source: RNAcentral